UUCCAGACUCCUACGGGAGGCAGCAGUGGGGAAUAUUGCACAAUGGGGGAAACCCUGAUGCAGCGACGCCGCGUGAGUGAAGAAGUAUUUCGGUAUGUAAAGCUCUAUCAGCAGGGAAGAAAUAGCGACCUUUGGGUCGCCAGACGGUACCUGACUAAGAAGCCCCGGCUAACUACGUGCCAGCAGCCGCGGUAAUACGUAGGGGGCAAGCGUUAUCCGGAUUUACUGGGUGUAAAGGGAGCGUAGACGGCAAUGCAAGCCAGAUGUGAAAACCCGCAGCUCAACUGGGGGAGUGCAUUUGGAACUGUGUAGCUGGAGUGCAGGAGAGGUAAGCGGAAUUCCUGGUGUAGCGGUGAAAUGCGUAGAUAUCAGGAGGAACACCAGUGGCGAAGGCGGCUUACUGGACUGUAACUGACGUUGAGGCUCGAAAGCGCGGGGAGCAAACAGGAUUAGAUACCCUAGUA
This 464-nucleotide ribosomal RNA is filed under the name uncultured bacterium. RNAcentral describes it as "bacterial SSU rRNA". It matches the Rfam family "Bacterial small subunit ribosomal RNA", at positions 329 to 792 of the family's 1533-position model. The record is from RNAcentral.